CACGGCAAGAGCGGUAAAGAUGCCCGCCAACCCCGCCGAGCCGAGCCGAGCCGAGCCGAGCCGAGAUUGUUCGAGAAUUUCUCACGCCUCUUUGUAGGUACAUAUGACAAUAAUAAACUAAACUAAAUAAUGUUUCCUCUGGAGCCAAUUAUUCAACCAAGGAAUAUCUCUUUGGAUGUGGGAGAAAACCAGAGGACCCACCAUGGGGAGAACAUGCAAACAAUGUACAAACAUUACAGGAAAUCCUAGGUUACUGCAGCAGCGAAGCACCAGCUCUACCAGUUGACAAAUUGAAAAAUGACAUUCUAGUUUCCACAAAGCACAUAUAUGUAUCAGAGAUGCUACAAGAUAGAUACUGAAAAAAUAUUAAACGGACACAAGAAACUGCAAAUGGUGGAAUCUUGAGCAAAACAAAGUACUGAGGAACUCAGGGGUUCAGGCAGCAUCUGUGAAGGGAAUGAACAGAAGAUAUUUCAGGACACAAGAACUAAGGCACCACCGGUUCCACGCAGGAUAUUUGAAAAGGCUCCUCUGAAGAAAGCAGUAAACCCCUCGUUUUUAUAGAUCUUAUGAAAGCAAUCCAGCGUUCCAGUGUACUGUCUUUCUGCUUCACC
This is a long non-coding RNA of Leucoraja erinaceus (little skate), 614 nucleotides long. RefSeq lists it as uncharacterized. The transcript is spliced from 4 exons. NCBI's taxonomy places the organism in Eukaryota, Metazoa, Chordata, Chondrichthyes, Rajiformes, Rajidae. The record is from RefSeq and is a predicted model, not a curated record.